UCGAGCUGACGAAAUUAGUAAUAUUAUCCGUGAACGUAUUGAACAAUAUAAUAGAGAAGUAAAGAUUGUAAAUACCGGUACCGUACUUCAAGUAGGCGAUUAUUGAAAUAAGUCUCAAAUGUUCAUGACAUUACAUAGGUUCAAACAUUUAAAGCAGAAAAUAUGAAUCAACUGUUCGAAUGAAAUAGAAACACAAGGGAUAUGAACACAUUCAAUAGGUAAAGAGAUCUUCAUCUCUUCAUGAUACACGAAUCUGCCUUUACAUUUGGUAUGAGGGUGUGUACCUGAAUAUGGCAAAGCAAAAUCAGAAGUUGAGUUAAUGACUCAGAAGAAUCAACAACAGUAGUAACAGCAGAUCAACAAUCAGUCCUCAAUGGAAUAGUAUUUCAAUAAAUCAAACGGCUCCAAACAGUCUCUCAAACUUCCCAGAAUUAGACCAUUUUUCAAAAUUUGGUUAAUAAAGAGUGCAGGGAUUUUUCUGUAGUUCUAGGGUAUCAGUCACUGCCCUUUUAUGGAAGAAAUGUCUAUAUAUAUAGCCCUCUUUUGUGCCCUCGGCUGCAAGAAACAGAAUAGGAAUAAAUUCCCUCACCAGACAUCUUUUUCUUUAAUAGAAAUGGGACAGCUAGCAGCUUAUUAUUGGCUCCAGCAACUUGUGCUAGCCAAAUAAGGCCAGCUGCCCCUAUUCUGGAAGUUCCCAUCACAUAAGCUUAUCCAAAGACCUUCUCUAUUUUCCAAAUUGGUCCCUAAGUUUUUUCAUCUAUUCAACUACGAUCCUAGAAGUGUUUACCAAUUUCAAAACUUAACCAAACAAGAUAAUGCCAGCAGCGAUGAACAAAACCCAAUCAAACAACAUGAAACACUUAGACUCUUGCAAUCACACCAACAAAACUUCGAUUUCCUGAUAAAUCUCAAAGUUCAUUGUUAAAGGCUAAUGAUGAUCUUGACUCAAUGAGACAAAUCAAAGAAAGAUGAGCAGCAUACUGACUAUUUAUUCAAUAGAAACCCUAAAAUUCCUAUCAUGCAAUUAAAGAGGGAAAAAAAAUAGAACAUUAAGAUUAAACAAAAUAAUGCAAGACGUGACUUUCACAACUAUCCAAACAUAAACAAAUCUCCAUUAAAUGACUAAAUCAAACAAAGCUUAACCAAACUCGGACAAGCAAUCCAUUUGAAGUAACCAGAAAAGAAAUUAACAAAAAAUAGAAAACAAAACAAAUUAACAUAUUAAUCAGAAGCUAAAUAGGACGGGGCGAGGUUCAGACUCAAAGGAAAACCUAACAACUGGGCUCAAACUCAAGGAAGCGGAGAAGCGGUUGACUGACCGGAAGCUGGCUCACAAAUGAACCCACAUAAAGGUUAACGAGUCUUGAGCCAUCUUGGUUUCUAAAACGUGAAGAAACAGCUUUGGACGAACUAGGAUUACUAAUUUAGAUAUGAAAUUCAAAGCACUAGCAAAGGUCUUUGGGGAUUUAUCGAUAGAUUUGGGAAUAGUGAGUGCAGGGGUUACCUUGUACCAAGUUGAAGUGGUUUGGAGUGAUUUGGUUUUAGAGAUCAAUUUUGGAUCUAAAAUUUGAGCAGGCUGAGAGAGAUUCAAGGGGAACUACUUUGUGAUUUAGAAAGAGGGAGGUGAGAAGAUUGUUUGGCGUUUAUUUGAGGAUGAGCGGAGGUAGCGCUGCCACUUUGAAGCGGUGGAAACGGGGGCGGCGAGCUAGGGUUUUUUGGGUGUUCUCUGAUGGUGAAUUGUGAGAGACGAUUAUNNN
Molecule: long non-coding RNA, 1757 nt
Filed under: Nicotiana benthamiana
Lineage: Eukaryota; Viridiplantae; Streptophyta; Magnoliopsida; Solanales; Solanaceae
Description: long non-coding RNA (NBEN_LNC021201)
Source: RNAcentral